Molecule: long non-coding RNA, 5498 nt
Filed under: Sus scrofa (pig)
Lineage: Eukaryota; Metazoa; Chordata; Mammalia; Artiodactyla; Suidae
Description: lncRNA (ENSSSCG00000062513.1)
Source: RNAcentral
CCCAUCUCACUCUAUGCAGACCACUUUUCCUGCCGCAGGUGUACUUCUGCAACACCAAUUAAUCUUUCCUCCUCUGAAUUUUGAAACUGCCAAAGUUUCUCCUCACUGUCAGCAGAUAUCUUAGAAACCUCAUUUUCAACCUGCUUUCCAAGAACAGCAGCAAUUAUUCUUAAUCAUUAUUUAUUAUAAUUUGAUGCUUCAGAGAGAUUAUUAUGUAUUAUGUGUGUCCUUCCUAAUUUCUUUCUUUUUUUUUUUUUAACUGUAAGUGAGAAUCAAUGUAAGGGAUUGAUAUCAAGCUUUGGGUAGCUAUUACCAUGACUAGGGUUAUCUAACCUUAUUACAUUGAUUGUAGUUUCUCUUCUGUAUCUUCCAGUGAACCCUCAAAUUGAUUUUAAAAUGCUGCUAUUGACCUAAAGAUUCUUAGCAACAGGAGGUUUAAAUGCUUUUCAUUGUUAUGCUUCCUGCCUAUAAUACCAGUUAUGCUUCAAAGUUUGCAGUAGGGAACUGCAUCUCACUGUAGAUUUUAAUUCAGAUCCCAGGGCUCCAUGUCUCCUAGAGAUACAGAUUGGUGAAAAGGGCUCCCAUCACUCAGCUCCAACUCUCACACCCAGAAGAGAUUCUCUUUCCCAGACUCCUGCCAGACAUGCAUUCAGCUUCCACUUGAUUGAUAUCUGGGAGCUGCUGGAAGCAGGAGAAUACCUAGAACCCAGGGCUCGAAGAACGGUUGAAGCCCUUAUUUUGCUAUCAGCUAAUUUUGUGGGUUAGAGUAUAAUGCCCCAUCUAUUGAAGGUUUAGUCUCUCUAUUUGCAAAAUCAGAAUAUUGAUAUCUCAGGAAAAGUAGUGUCUAUUUCAAUAGGUCAGUGCUUCAAAAGGAUUAAAUGAAAUGCCUACUUCACAGCUAUGGAUAUGAAUGUGUGCUUGUGUUUGUGAGCAUGCUAUAUGAAAGUACAUCUCCAAGAUCCUAAGCUUAUACUUCCACUUUACAAAUUUUUUUUCCCCAGGACCUCUAAGAAGUCAUGUAGCUCAAAUCUUUACGCCUUCAAGCUGUGCCUGGCAUAUAGCCGGUCCCAUUAUAAGAGCUGUGGCUCUUCAUCCUCCCCUUCCUUCCUUUUAUUCUUCCUUUACUUACUUAUUUAUUUUGGCCUUGCCUGAAGCAUGGAGAAUUGUCCAGCAAGGGAUCAAACCCACACCACAGCAGUGACCUGAGCCACAGCAGUGGCAACACCAGAUCCUUAACCGCUAGUCCACUAUGGAACUCCAUUCUUCCUUUGAUCUUAUAAUAGAAGAAUGCACUUAGAGUGACUAGAACCCUUUGGUAGACAGAGGAAUAAACCCAACUUAAUCCAGCUUGAACAAAAAAGAAAAAUAUUCACAGUGCAUACUCUCAGAGCGGAACUGCACUGCAGGAACUGGGAUAGCGGCCCAACCAACCUCACCAUUUUCUCACGUCAGAGUAAUGGGAUCAAUUAUUUUCUUAUGCUGCUUCAGAUUUUCUUUCUUCACAUGAUAGAAAAUAUGUAUUCCUAAGUUUUUCACCUUUAAGACUCAAUACCAGGGAUCUGCAUCCAUUUAAAAUCAGUUCAAGGCACUCAUUGUCCCCAAGAGGAACAGUACCAAUAAGCCACUGCAUCAAAUGACAACUGCUCUUGGAGUCACCGUGUUUAUGCAAGGGGACAGGGAUGAGGAGACUCUUUUCAAAAGAAAGAUGAGUGACAAAAAACCCUGUAGAGGUUCACUCUAUAACUAAAUGGUUCUUGAAAGUUCUUAUACUGCAUUUCUCUUUCUACCAGUCUGAUUUUGUUUUCCAAUUAUGUUAUAUACAAGUCAACAUGACGGGCCUCUUAAAAAUCUAUUUCUUGGAGUUCCCUUUGUGGCUCAGUGGUUAACAAAUCCUACUAGGAUCCAUGAAGAUGUGGGUUCGAUCCCUGGCCUCACUCACUGGGUUAAGGAUCCAGUGUUGCUGUGAGCUGUGGUGUAAGUCACAGAUAUGGUUCAGAUCCCACGUUGCUGUGGCUGUGGCAAAGGCCAGUAGCUGUAGCUCUGAUUUGACCCCUAGCCUGGGAACCUACACAGGCCACAGAUGCAGCCCUAAAAAGCAAAAUAAUAAUACUACUAAUAAAUAAAAUCUUUUUUUUUUCAGAUUUUGAUAUAUUUUAAAGCCUGAAUACUGCAUGCACUUUGAUCAUGCUACAGAUUGAAUUAUUGAAAUUUCACAGUGGUUUUUGUUUUUGUUUUUUAAAUGAUUCUGGCAUUGGGCCUGCCUUUGUUGUCCUCUGCUCCAGUACCCUCUCUGGAGAGUAUAUGUAGCCCUGUGUUGCUCAGAGUUGCUCAGGCCCAUCUGUCUGCCUGCUGACUAUGAAAAUCCUGCUGUCAUCCUGGGGUCAUUCCAUUCCACCCUUGUCUCUACAUGGGGAGGUCAAGGAAAGGGUCAGAAGCCAUGGCCCACAGAGAGCUGUGCAACUCCCUGCAAGUUAAAUAACCUCUCUGUGGCUAAUGCUCACAUCUUCAAAAUAAGAGAAGAAGGAGACAUGUGCUUGUCCCAUUUUUUUUUUCCAGAAAUGUUAAGUGCUAGCCUCACUCUAAUCCUUCAAAAUAGAUAUUAUGUGUUGUAAAUGCAUUGUACUUAGAAAUGGAGGAAUCACCAGCUACAGAGUGGAAAGAGUUCUAGACUUCAGUCAGAAGGUCUGGAUUCAUGUUUCAGUUCUGCUGCUUAUCCCUGUAAACUGGAACCAUUAUUUUAUCUCUCUAAUUUCAGUUUUUCUGUAAAGUGAAUAUAAGCAUACCUUCCUGCAUGGAAGGCUUGUGAGAUUAAAAGAUAAGAUUUUAAGCAGCUGGCACAAUAACUGUCAUAUAGUAGAUGGUUAACAACUGUAGUGUGUCUAUGUGUGUGUGAUUAUUUAUUAAUGCAAAAGACUAACAGUUAUUAAGGAAGAAGCCCUGGUUCCUCCUGACCUUAGCACAGCCCUGCAGAGUUGCCUAUGUGAGAAGUAUUCAACUGCGAACCAACACGUCUGAAUUCAUAGCAUUUGAAUCUGUAACCUCUCACAUGCAGCUCGUAUUUGAAAUGGCUGCUGUUUUCCUUUAUCCGUACGAGCAUAAUGCGUAUGACGCAUCUGACCAGAUCCACACUAGCAGUCUCUGUCCUGUAUCUCUUUCUGCCAAUGUGGAAUAUGAGUACUAUGUACGGGAAUUCCUUAUACAAGUUGCUUAUGGGGAUCAACUUGUCUACGAAGUCUUCAUCUUCGAGGAAUCCAAAGUGAACUUUGGGUAUAUCUUAGAACUGUCCUAUAAGCCAUCACAAACCCAAAGUAUGGCCCAAAUGUGAUAAACAUGUAUUUAGGACUGUUCUCCUGAUGCAAUGACAGAUAGGUGGUUGUUUUUCUCAAUUUAUAUAAACUUAUAAAACUUAUUAUUUGUUAAUUAGAUGAUGGAUUUACUUAUCAAAUAUUGACAGAAAGAUUGGAAGAAUGAUAUUUCAAGUUAUCCAGUUGAAUAUUAAUUGAUCUGUCAACAAUCUAUCAUGCCACCCGAGUCCUUCCCUGGUACUUUACAUGCAUUUUUGUCUUUAAUCACCACAAUAGGAUCUAUGCUAUAGAAAGUGUUUCCACUGAUAAAGAAAGGGGAGAAUGGUUAAAUUUAGAAUGCUUAGAAAUGCUGGCCCAAGGUGAGAAAGACAGUGAGUGGCAGAGCCACUUUUUAUGAUCUGUCUGGAUCCAGAACUCUUUCUUUUUUAAAUUUUAUUGGAGUGUAAUUGACUUACAAAAAUGUGUUCGUUUCAGGUACACAGCAAAGUAAAUCAGUUAUCCAUACACGCAUACACACACACAUACAUAUAUAAAUGCAUUCCUUUCAGAUUAUUUUCCCAUAUAGGUAUUUAGUAUUGAGUAGAUUUUCCAGUCACAUACAGUAAGUCCUUGUUACUUGUCUAUUUUGUACAUAGUAUUGUGUGUAUAUGUCAAUCCCAACCUAUCUCUGAGGUUGGAUCUAGAAUUCUGAACCACCACAUUAAACAGUAUCGCCUUCUAUCUCUUGCAUUAUGAUAUGGCUUGAGGCUACACCACCUUAAAAAAAAAAAGAAUUAUUAUUUGAAUGAGUUUAGAAUUUAGAACUGUGCUAUUCACGGUAGCAUAUUGAAUAACUGAAAUCUUUCUAAUGCAAAUUGAGACAUGCUGUAAGUGCAAUGUCCACACUAGGCUUCAAAAACUUUGUACAAAAAAAGCAAUGUAUCUCAUUUUAUAUUGAUGACUUAUUGAAACAAUAAUAUUAGCUGUAUAAGAUAUAUUACUAAAAUUAAUUCUACCUAUUUUUCCUUUUAAUGUGGCUAUUGGAAAAUUUUAAAUUCCAUGUGUGCCUUGCACUGUUAUCUCUGCAUUUGACAGGGUCAGCUGUGAAGACAAAGUUAACAGGUAAUUUUAAUAUAGUUUUAUUAGCAUUUCAAAAGUCAUGAGCCCAUAGGAAAACUCUGAAGAACCAUGAAAUUUUCCUGAGAGAGGUGUGAGCUCCAAAUUUGUAGUUGUGACAGAGAUAAAAAGAAGCAAAAGGUAUUUCAGGAAGAGAAGAUGAAAUAUUUCACUUGGGAAGUGAGAAAUAGCCUAGCACAUUCAGGGAACAUGGAUACAUUCAGUAAAAGGCAAAGAGUAGGAAGAAGAAAGUGUCAAAUGCCUCUGGGAUCAUACAAGGAGGGUUUUCAUCAUGAAAGACUUCAAGUUAUUCAGAACUGGGAAUUUUUACUAUUUAAAAAACCCACUUGUAUCUGCAUAAGAACACAUUAUCCUUUAAGUCAAUGCUGGCCCUUUGGUCACUGCCAACCCUGACCUUAGUAAAUAAUAGGAAGCACAGCUCCUAGUGGUUGAUUGAUUAGAGUUUUUAGUUUGCACAAAUCAUAUCCUCUGCCUUUGGUCACAGACAUAUCUCAGGUCUAAUUGUCUAAAAACUAUAUGCAAGUGACCCAAGCAAAAGUACCUUCUUAAAUCAGUCCCUCCAAACCCUAUUACAAUUGACAUAUGUAUAAAUGUUGGAAUGACUAUUGUAUAUAACGAAUGACUCAAUCAACCAAUCAAUCAAUGCAUUAAAAUAUAUCUCUAUCAUGAACUUGUGAAGUGUCCUUGGGCAAGAAACUGAUUUUGGAGGGACUUUUUUUAUUUAUUUAGAAUCUAUAUGGCUUUAAAAUUUCCUUCUAAGUUUUACUAUUCUGUGACCCCAUGCAUUUAGGUAUAUAAACUUCCAAGAAUCUCUUUCCUCUUUUCUACAACUCAGUAAUUUUAAAAAAGUCAAAGAAAAGCAGUAGCAGCUAUGCACCUAUGUGUCAAAUUCUAAAUCUAUUCAACAAUACAAUUAUGCCAAGGGUUUUUCUUCUUUUAUUUGAUUCAGAAUUCCAUCCUUUCAUGAGCAAAUAAACAAUGCAUCUACCUGGUUUUCAGUAUGUAAGAAUAUAAUUAUAUGUCCCUUGAAGACAUUUAGAUAUUUAAAAAUGAAGAGAGAGAAUGGAGCCAUGAAGU